ACGAACGCUGGCGGCGUGCUUAACACAUGCAAGUCGAACGGAAAGGCCCUGCUUUUGUGGGGUGCUCGAGUGGCGAACGGGUGAGUAACACGUGAGUAACCUGCCCUUGACUUUGGGAUAACUUCAGGAAACUGGGGCUAAUACCGGAUAGGAGCUCCUGCUGCAUGGUGGGGGUUGGAAAGUUUCGGCGGUUGGGGAUGGACUCGCGGCUUAUCAGCUUGUUGGUGGGGUAGUGGCUUACCAAGGCUUUGACGGGUAGCCGGCCUGAGAGGGUGACCGGCCACAUUGGGACUGAGAUACGGCCCAGACUCUUACGGGAGGCAGCAGUGGGGAAUAUUGCACAAUGGGCGGAAGCCUGAUGCAGCAACGCCGCGUGCGGGAUGACGGCCUUCGGGUUGUAAACCGCUUUCGCCUGUGACGAAGCGUGAGUGACGGUAAUGGGGAAAGAAGCACCGGCUAACUACGU
RNAcentral lists this ribosomal RNA (466 nucleotides) under uncultured bacterium. RNAcentral's name for it is "partial 16S ribosomal RNA". It matches the Rfam family "Bacterial small subunit ribosomal RNA", at positions 29 to 506 of the family's 1533-position model. The record is from RNAcentral.